UUUACGGCUACUUUGCGGCCUUCACAGCCUCCAUUUACGGCCAUCGCCCGGGGUUACUCAGUAACCUCCGGGUUUGUGAGGUCGAGGAGGCUGCAGAGGAGCACAAGCCUGGCAAUGAGGGUUUUGUGAUAAUAGUAUAAAAAUCUCGACUUGUGUACUGUUGUCAUCACUGCUUGUGAGUCUGUUGUUUUUGUUAAUGUUUCCUCUGAAAGAGUCUGUCCGUUUUCUGUGUAUUGCAGAUCAGGGAACACAAGACUAACAAGUCAUUUGGGGGGGCCCAAAUGUUCUUGGAGACUGACGAGUUUCUCUGGCUGGAGAGGUGGCUGCAGCUGCGGGCGGCCAGCAAGCCACCGAACCAGCUGGUUUUUCUUCACGGCUUGGAAGGGCCCAUGCUAAAACUUCUUGCACCACCUGCAGGUAGCAUGGGCGGAGAUGGGCCUUAAAAGGUCCCCCAACUUCACUGACCUGAGGACCGCUGUGUCUGCUCAUGUCAAGAACAACCUUCUGUCGAGCAGCGGAAGAUGGUGGCCACCUGUAUGUGCCACAACAUGGCCACAGCUGACUGCUUCUACGCCCUCAGCCUGAACGUGGCCCAGUCAAAGACCGUGCCAUCACCGGAGUCACCAGAAGCCUCCUCCUCCUCCACCACCAGGAAGAGGUCCCGCAAGCCUGAGUCCUCCUCCAGUUCCGAGGACAAAACCCCGGUCCCCUACCAGGAGUCAGGGACCUCGGGACUGGAGGAGGAACUCCAGGACAUGGAGGAGGAGAGGGAGUUUAUGGCGAGGCUGCAAAAUACACCAGAGAAGGCCCGAGAAGUCUCGUGAACACGCCAGUGUGCGUCAACCUAACUUGUGUGGAGGGAAACGUCUUCAGGCACACGGGAAUCACCGACAUUUCAGGACCAUUUAUGACGGGUUGGGAUGUUGCCAUCCUUGUGUAACCCAGACUAAAAGGUACACAGGCACGGAUUCACGAGGGAGUGGAGGGGGGCAUUUUAUAGCAUUUUGAUAAGAUGCAUAGUGAUAUUAAUCAAAUACAGUAAUGCACAAACACAUUCUAUGGUUUCUAUGGAGAAAAACAAACAACUUACAUAUGUACAUUAGACAUGCCCUACAGGAAUUGGGAUUUUGUGCGUUGAUACAUUUUGAAACCACUUCAAUACAUGAUACAUGAUGUAUGUUCUAAUGUCUGUAAGUUUGACAUAAAUUAAAUAAUUUGCACAUAUAUGUAUGUGUAUGUUGUCAGUCAUUGUACAUUUAGGUUGAAAUUGAGUGAUGCUUGAUAUUAAAUGAUAUCAAAAUAGCAUCAAAAUGACAUCAACAUCAUGACAUCUUGACAUCAAAUAAAUGUUGAAUUGACA
This 1360-nucleotide long non-coding RNA is filed under the name Sander lucioperca (pikeperch). Its description in RNAcentral is "lncRNA (ENSSLUG00000019630.1)". The record is from RNAcentral. Lineage: Eukaryota; Metazoa; Chordata; Actinopteri; Perciformes; Percidae.